Long non-coding RNA from Cygnus olor (mute swan), 197 nucleotides. RefSeq lists it as uncharacterized. The record is from RefSeq and is a predicted model, not a curated record. The transcript has 3 exons. NCBI's taxonomy places the organism in Eukaryota, Metazoa, Chordata, Aves, Anseriformes, Anatidae.
GGAUUGUCUGUGCAUUGUCACGACCAAGCAGAGCCAUGGCAGAUGCCCAUCCCACAAAUGCUCAGUCGAAACACCUGCCUGGAUACCCAUUCAGCACUCUACCGUUUUGUGAAGGACCAAGAAUCAUCAAAGGUGGGGAGAUGAACUACAUUCCUGUGUUGGUUUGGUGGAGGAUGGAAAAAAGCCCUUCCUAUGGU